AUGGCCAUACCACCCUGAAUGUGCCCGAUCUCGUCUGAUCUUGGAAGCUAAGCAGGGUUGGGCCUGGUUAGUACUUGGAUGNUUUACUUUAUCUCAUUCAUCUUUCUAUCUCUCAGAGCAUCUGGAGUACAUU
Molecule: ribosomal RNA, 133 nt
Filed under: Vulpes vulpes (red fox)
Lineage: Eukaryota; Metazoa; Chordata; Mammalia; Carnivora; Canidae
Source: RNAcentral